GAUGAACGCUGGCGGCGUGCCUAAUACAUGCAAGUCGAGCGAACGGACGAGAAGCUUGCUUUUCUGAUGUUAGCGGCGGACGGGUGAGUAACACGUGGAUAACCUACCUAUAAGACUGGGAUAACUUCGGGAAACCGGAGCUAAUAUCGGAUAAUAUUUUGAACCGCAUGGUUCAAAAGUGAAAGACGGUCUUGCUGUCACUUAUAGAUGGAUCCGCGCUGCAUUAGCUAGUUGGUAAGGUAACGGCUUACCAAGGCAACGAUGCAUAGCCGACCUGAGAGGGUGAUCGGCCACACUGGAACUGAGACACGGUCCAGACUCCUACGGGAGGCAGCAGUAGGGAAUCUUCCGCAAUGGGCGAAAGCCUGACGGAGCAACGCCGCGUGAGUGAUGAAGGUCUUCGGAUCGUAAAACUCUGUUAUUAGGGAAGAGCAUAUGUGUAAGUAACUGUGCACAUCUUGACGGUACCUAAUCAGAAAGCCACGGCUAACUACGUG
This 497-nucleotide ribosomal RNA is filed under the name uncultured bacterium. RNAcentral describes it as "partial 16S ribosomal RNA". It matches the Rfam family "Bacterial small subunit ribosomal RNA", at positions 28 to 507 of the family's 1533-position model. The record is from RNAcentral.